GAUUAGAACACCAAUACAUGUGCGGUAGCGUGUGAACUUACAGGUGCUUGACGAAAUCCCAUACUCUUGAUGCAGGUCCUACUCGAUGCAGCACACGGGAAUAGUUGGCGAAGCGGAACAACACCGAGUGAAUAGCCCAUGGCCAAAAGUGUGAACAUGGCCAGCAGUAGGUAGAAGACAUCCAGAAGGCUACUGGCACUAAAGAUGACCGACAUCAACCAGCGGCUGGUCGGUGUAGAGCAGCAGGAAGCCACCGGCACAUCCUUGCGGUGGCCGGCUGUGGUGAUGGCCUUCUGAUCCCUUUUUGCACCCUUUUAGGAUCGGUAGUUAGGAGUUUGUUGGGGGGUUAACCCAUGUAUGCGUGUGUCAUUGCCCAAGGGGCACCACCUCCUCCUUUUAUACUUGGUGCUAAGGGACAGGGACAAAAACCAAAAGUUGUCUUUCUGUGUGCCUCCGAUCAUAGCACAAAACGUGGUGAAGAGCUCCCCCUUUUCUCUUGGUCUGUUAUGACCUGAGAUCAAAUUCCAAGAUUCUCCCCCUUGAUCAUAAGGUCAAAAAACAUCAUAAGCUCAUUCUCAAUAGAAAUAAUAUACCAAGGCAAAGUGUUACAAUGACCAAUGAGAUGCCAUUGAACCUCAUUACCCAUAGUACAUAAUUCUAUCUCGAAAUGAAAAAAAUAAUACUUUAUGGGAGAUGGUUUACAAGAUGGUCCUAAUUUCCAGGAUCAAAAGGCUUUCCUAACCCAUGCCGGCAACAUAAUCAUAAAUACGGCUGGUGAGCCUUUGGUAAACGGAUCCAUAAUACAUACAAAUCAUUUUUAUAUGCUUAUCAUUAGCUUGAUUCUGGAUUCUAUCUUUCACAACAUGAAACAUAUUGUCAAUGGUUUUGGCAACACCAUUUGACUUGUUGUUACUCGCAUAGAAAACUACAUGUUCAUAAUGCAGUAGGUGGUUUUUAUAAAUGUUGUGUACCACCUUAAUUUCGGGAAUAUAACUUCUUCGACAUACAACCUUCCCAAUAGCCUCUUAACAUGCCACAUCAUAAAUUGCAUUAUUUCUAAUGCCAUCCAUGUCAUUAUGGAGCUUUUCCACGACAUAGCUCCAUAUGCGAGAGUGACGAUGUAACAUAACAUGGAGACUUUAAUAUCCACACACCUCGCGGAAAUAAUGUCUGAAUAACCAAGGAUAUCGAGGUUAUCAGACUUCUUAUUAGUGAGCAUAUAAACUUUUAUUGCCUUGCAUAUCUACAAGACUUUUCGCGGCUUCUCUGGUGGUCCAUUUCUGGACUUCUAUAUUUGCCAAUUAUCCCGAUCAUAAAUAGGGCAAGUUCAUAUUUAAAUACUUACAUUGCUUCUGACAGCUGAAGCAUAAGGAACUAACAUUACCUGAUCAGUUCAUAAUGGUUCCUUGGACACUAAAUUGUCCACCUUUACUGCCCUUGACUUUAGUAGCAGGUGCGAUAGAGUACUACCACGUAAUAUUUUCUUCCGUACUCUAUCAACGUAUGUCAUCAUAAUAAAACUUAUACUCCUUUUGGACCUAUAUCUUGGCGAAACUCAAUACAAGCAAAGUAUGAGGCAUCACCAAGAUCCUUCAUGUUAUAAACAUAAAGAUAGAAAUUACUUGGCUCGCCAAAAUAUUCUAUCUCCACAAGGUAGUGAUCUUACUCCCCCCGUCUUAUAGUAUGAGUGUCCUAACACUUGUAUUAUCUCAUAAUUGUAUUUCUUUAGAUAACAUGCCUUAUGUCAAUUUCACCCAUGACAAAACCGUACAAUUGAGCCAUACGUACAUUAUCAACUAAGUCAACAAAAGUGCAUGUCAUAGUAAUAACACAAACGUCACAACAACUCACUAAGGAAAUUCUAUGGAGUUUCAUACAUCAUUAGAGCUCAGAAUCUUCAUCCUAUAUGGCAACAAGCCACUAAGAUGAUCAUUCACACACAUUAUUGGUCAUAGGGAAAUUGUUGAAUCUCAACAAUAAGUGUUGCAUUAGAGAAAAAUAAAUUACCUUCAAUUUACCUGAUGCAUAUGAACAAAGAUCUAAUGGAAUUAUCCUUAAGAUUAAUGUUCAUAUGCUCCAGGUUCCCUGAUGAUCACUUUAUUUAAAACAUGGAAAAUAUAUCCAAAAAUCUUUGUAACAAUCAUCUCAGCUCUAAACCACAACACCCUUGGGCUAAAGAUGGAAAAGAACUUAAUGAACUAUGACAAAUGAUUAUAAACGACGUUAGUCAGAAAUAUAACCACAAGCCACAUGAUACCAACAAACUUGCCACUUGAGUGAAGUGUCACAUAUGAUUAUAAACGAUGUUGGUCAUAUAUAAUCAACAUGUUACAUCUUGAUGGUCAUUGGACUAGCAAGCUUGCCACUUUAGCAUUCAUGUGUGCUUCGUAAUGCUCAUAAGGGACUAAGUACACACUAAUAUGAUAAAGGAGUCAUUUUUCAUUCAUUCUUCUAAAUAAGACUUGUUGCAUCUUAAUUAGAGAACCAACAUUAGAAUGUGCUUUUCAUACAUUCUCCAACCAAGACUUCUCGUUGGUUCCAUCUUAAUUAGAGAGUUGAGAUACAUAGUUUGCUUAAUUGUACAUGCUAUGAUCUAAGUAUGGAGAAGUGAACGCGAUAUCUCGUAUUAAAUGAGACUUCCAUUCUCCCCCUCGAAAUGUGGUCUAAAACCACAAUUUUGAUGAGGUCUCAUUAUUCACACUUCUCUUACAUCUUCAAUGGUAACAUAGAAUUUAAUCUUUACAAAAGAUUCAUUUAGUAAAAACAUAACUGGUCUCACCAUAAGGUGGGACUAACAUUACAUAAUUUGAGUUGACUUGAUAACAUAUAAAAUCACGUCAUAUAUUCAAGAGAUGAAAUUAAGGUUGUCAAAUAACUAGGAGCGUGAACAAAACAUCAUCAAUAAGAUGAAGAAUUAAGUCAUCUCCAAAAGCUAGUGGAAUAAAUCCAAUAGUUUUGACUUUAAUCUCCUUUAAAUUGGUGAUGUGCAUGAUGGCACAUGCGUCCUCACCCAAUGUCUGCCUUAUCAUCAUGAUUAACAUCCUUUAACCUUAGUGCAGAAAAACGUUGGGAGAUUCCUUACAUGAGACAAUGAUCUCCACUCUCCAUGUGGGAAAGUUAUUUACAUAAGGUUCUUCUAUGCCAAACAAAAGUUUGACAACAUUAUUAUUGCUGGAAAAGAGGAGACAAUUUUAUGAUCAUCAUAACAGAAAAUAAAGCAUGAACUAACCAUGCAAUGCCAUGAACAAAACAUGCUUAAUGUUUAUUCUAAUCUGUAUCACCGUUGGGCAGAUAACAAAAAAGAACCUUACUCAUUCGUAAAUGACACAUGAAAAACAUAAUCAAUGUUGGUCUGAUUAUCAUCAUAUGCCAUUAGAACAUUUGCUAAUUAAACCUCUAAUCAAAACUCUCGAUGGUUCCAUUUUGACCAGAGAGAUGUAAAAUCUCGUAAUGACCAGCAAUAACUACACUGAAUUAAUUGCCAUCAUUAACAUAAAGCAACAUCACAAUAUAAUCAUGUGCGCCAUGAGGCACAGUGAUGCAUUUUGACACUAAAUCUCACAACGAUAAAUAAGAAUAUUGAACUUAAGCGUCAAAAUUAUCAUUAGAAUUCUCAAUGACAUACAUGAAAUGAUAUUGGAAUUAACAUAUAAAUAUAAAUGUCACUCCCACCGAGUAAUCAUUAAAGAGGGCAUUCAGAGUGAAAAUGCCAUAAAUAUAAAUCAUCAUAAGAAUUUCCAAAAUUAUAAAAUUUGGAUAUCAAAAUUAUCAAGAUUCUCCAAAUAAUAAUAUUGGGCAAAUUAAUAAUUGUCAAAUAAAUGACCAUGUGAAAAAAAACGUAAACAAAAUUUCUUCAUUAAGAGAAUUGAUCAUAAUCCAUUAACAUCAUUUUUGGACCGUUAUGAAUAUUUGACAGGUGCACACUAUAAUAAAAAUGGCAUAAAAUGCCCCAACCAACAACUUUAGUUUUGCCCAAUAGGCAUAUUGCCCCAACAUUAUUAUGACACAUAGUGUGGUGCAGAAAACCGAACCACGCGUCCAUCAUUAUUUUCCUUGAGGUGGCGUGAGCCCAUUAGAAAUGACCACAUCUUUAAGAAAUGUCAUAAGUAUGGCAUCAACAUUAAAUUCACACUCAUUCAAAUUUAAAAAAUAUAUAUAUUUAGAAAAUUCAAUGAGGAUUCAUAAUUGUGCAUUUGUGCUCAAUAUAAAAAUAUCCUUUUAUAACAUUAAUUUCACCAUUGAAAAGAUACUAGAAAUGCUAUCAUCAUUAAAAGGUACCAUUACAAAAAAACUUCGACAUUAAUGUCACAUUAAAUCUUCCAAAUAAAAUUUCCCGUUGGUUCUAUUUUAUUCAGAAAAUUUAAAACAUAAUUUCAACAUAAUUAUAGGUAAUUCCAAAACUUUUUUUAGUGCAUACACAUUAUUAGGAACUUAACAUAUGCACUGAAACUGCAUAAUAUGGCUAAAAAUAUAAUUCGACCCAUAACAACCCACGGCUUUCUAUUAAUAAAAUUUCAUCAUCAUUAAAAGAUUUCCAUAGAAGGGACAUAAACAUUAUUUACACAAAUAAACACUAAUUACAUAGAAUGACUUAGGCAUAAUUUACAACAUAAUUUUCUGGCUAUUGUUAAUUUACAACAGUGCAAAACAUUUUGAAAACAACCAUAAUAUCAGGAAAAACACUGAAUAGACUAAAAAUGCCUAUAACAUAAUUUUGUCCAAUAUAACCCAUGACAGCCCAUUAGAAAACUUAAUGACCAUUUUAAUUUUCACAUAUAAUUUGGGGAUCUAUUUCUAAUAUGAACAGUGCAUAAAAGAUACACAUUUUCAUAAUAUAGCAGAAAAUACAAUGAUUUUUUAUAAAGCGUAGCAGCGGCCUGUUGACUUUCUAGCCCAGCAGAUGAAAACUUCAAUAUGGAACAUUGUUUUCUGUAGGCUAACUUAACCUGGGCAAUAGCCCACUGCCAGAUUUGGCUCAUUUAUGCAACCCAGGCCCGUUUAUGCUCCGCGUUGUUCUCAGUCGUCCGAUUGGAUCGACAGACCAGAUCGAGCCUCGGCGGAACAAAACUGCGGCCCGGUGCGAACCCUAGGCUCAUUUCUCCCCAUCUCCCCGAUUUCUACGCUCAUGCAGAGAGGGAGGCUACUUUGGCGGCGCUAGAUGCUCGCCGGCCAUGGCGGCGCGGUGGCAGCCCUCGCCGGAAGAGCGUGCAGUGGACCAAGUCCGGCGCGCUCCUCCGUCGAAAGUUGCUGCCGGUGACGCGCAUGAGGCGGUGGCGUAUUCGGGGCAGUAUCUUGCCGGCGGCUACCGAUGCAGGCUUUUGCGGUGACAUCGACGUGCUAGGCACGGAGGCCAAGUGACGCGCACGUCCUUGAGCACGUCAGGAUCACCGCACGACGUCAUUAGGUGAGCCCAAAUGCUCUCUGUUCUUUCAAUUUCGUCAUUUUGGGCUCCGAUUUGGGGAAAUUUCGGGUUCCAGGGAAUGAAUUUGUUUUUUUUCAAACAUUUAAUUCCCCUCCUUCUAAUUGCUUUACCAGGGCUAAGAGUACUAAUUAAAACACUAACAUAAUGCGGAAGCAUGGCUCAAUUAGUUUAAUCUGGAUAGGUUAAACAUCAUCAUUGUAGAAUUAGCACUAGCCCAUAGCAAUUAGUAUCUGAACCGAAACAAUUAACCUUAAACGUAGAUUAUCAACUUGUACUUUAAGCAUCAACCAUUAAUCUUAAACAUGCAUAAUUUGAUCUUAACAGAGGGUUCUAAACAGAGAUCAUUCGUGCUCAUGAUACCAAUGUUAUAUAUAAAUCUUUAGGUUAACAUAAAUUGGAUCUGGAUCUCUUGAUUAGAACACCAAUACAUGUGCGGUAGCGUGUGAACUUACAGGUGCUUGAUGAAAUCCCAUACUCUUGAUGCAGGUCCUACUCGAUGCAGCACACGGGAAUAGUUGGCGAAGCGGAACAGCACCGAGUGAAUAACCCAUGGCCGAAAGUGUGAGCGUAGCCAACAGUAGGUAGAAGACGUCCAGAAGGCUACCGGCACUAGAGAUGACCGGCAUCAACCAGCGGCUGGUCGGUGUAGAGCAGCAGGAAGCCGCCGGCACAUCCUUGCGGUGGCCGGCUAUGGUGAUGGCCUUUUGAUCCCUUUUUGCACCCUUUUAG
RNAcentral lists this long non-coding RNA (6151 nucleotides) under Triticum aestivum (bread wheat). RNAcentral describes it as "long non-coding RNA (TAES_LNC001780)". Lineage: Eukaryota; Viridiplantae; Streptophyta; Magnoliopsida; Poales; Poaceae. The record is from RNAcentral.